RNAcentral lists this small nuclear RNA (165 nucleotides) under Neotoma lepida (desert woodrat). RNAcentral's name for it is "U1 spliceosomal RNA". It matches the Rfam family "U1 spliceosomal RNA". Rfam says of the family: U1 is a small nuclear RNA (snRNA) component of the spliceosome (involved in pre-mRNA splicing). Its 5' end forms complementary base pairs with the 5' splice junction, thus defining the 5' donor site of an intron. The record is from Rfam by way of RNAcentral. Lineage: Eukaryota; Metazoa; Chordata; Mammalia; Rodentia; Cricetidae.
ACACUUACCUGGCAGGGGAUAUACCGUAAUCACGAAGGUGGUUUUCCCAAGGCGAGCCUCAUCCGUUGCACUCUAGAUGUGCUGACCCCUGCAAUUUCUCCAAAUGUGGGAAAAUCAAAUGCAUUAAUUUGUGGCAGUGGGUGACUGAGUUUGCACUCUCCCCUG